This 253-nucleotide ribosomal RNA is filed under the name uncultured bacterium. RNAcentral's name for it is "partial 16S ribosomal RNA". It matches the Rfam family "Bacterial small subunit ribosomal RNA", at positions 524 to 776 of the family's 1533-position model. The record is from RNAcentral.
UACGGGGGGGGCAAGCGUUGUUCGGAAUUACUGGGCGUAAAGGGCUCGUAGGUGGCCAACUAAGUCAGACGUGAAAUCCCUCGGCUUAACCGGGGAACUGCGUCUGAUACUGGAUGGCUUGAGUUUGGGAGAGGGACGCGGAAUUCCCGGUGUAGAGGUGAAAUUCGUAGAUAUCGGGAGGAACACCGGUGGCGAAGGCGGCGACCUGGGUAGAUACUGACGCUGAGGCGCGAAAGCGUGGGGAGCAAACAGG